AGCAGUGUUUGGAAAAAGAAGAAAGCAUAGUUUAAAAAUGACAGCCUUAAACAUAUAAAUAAUUUACUAUUGAGAAUACCAAAGAUGUUAUUUAAUACAAUAGUACAUUACAACAGUGUUUCUAAAAGGACCAUCUUCUGUGGUUAUUUUGUUGAUUUAUUUACAAGUGAUAGCACACAUUUGGUGACUGCCUUAGACAAUACUGGCCACAUUCUGCUAUUGGUUAUGUCAAGCUAACUUUACUGGCUGCAGUGAGGAAGUGUUAGGUUAGUUCAGAAUUUGGUUGCUAACAGCAUGUUGGAACCGAUUCAAAGAACACAGAAAUCUACCAAAUAGCUCCCUUUGAUUUCAAGGGGCUUUAAACUGUUGAAAAAAACCACGAGUUUCUAGGGUACCCAGAAAAAACACUUAUCAGCCUGUAGUGUCUGCAGCCUGCAGUGCCAGCGCUCCUUAUUUCUUUUAUUUGAAAGCUAUCUGUCAUUUAGUAUAGCCUUUUGGAUGGCCGACUAAUCGCUUACAUGAUUUGAGUGAACACACCAAUAUACAAAAAAGGUAAUAGCUUCAGGUGCCUUUGAUAACAAAUAACCCUGUGUUUCACAGUCAGUUUAAUAGGAGAGCUCAAAAUAUUAACUCUCCACAUAAGAAAGAAUCACCGUGGAGGCCCUGAGAUAUUCUGUCUUUGAGCAAAAUCCCCUGGAUAUCAGUGGUGAUUUCACCUGGUUAAGAGUUGGAUCUACGACUACUCAGGCAAUAUCAACAUUUCAAAGCAGACAUCCUUCAGUUCCAUAUUUUGUUAUAGGUUUUACCUGGUAAGUGACCUCUGCAAGUAUAAUAGAAUUCUUUACAAUAGUCUUUGCACAAGUAGGGAAGAGUUAGUUCUCUUUCAGAAGUUUCCCCUUUCUCAGGUGAGUGGAAAAGAUUCUGGGCAUGAGGUGAGCAGUGUGCGCAUUUGAUUUCCUCCAGUAGCUUCGCACAUUCUGUGUUGUUCGUGACAGAAAGUAUCUUGGCCCCGGCGUGCAGCAGCCCCUGCGCGUCGGCGCGGGAGCAGCAGGAGAGGCGCGGGUAGAGGCCGCGGCACAUCGCCUCCGCGCCGCCCGGCGCCUCCGGGGACAGCAGCCGCCGGUCGCGCUUCUUCAGCCGCCGCGGCGGGGUCCCGUUGAGGCACCUUCUCCUCCGCGCGCCGCUCUCCCCGAACUUGGCAUCCCCCUCGAAGAAGCACAGAGCCACGGCCACCAGCAGCAGCUUGAACGGCAGCAUCUUGAGCAUCAUGCCUGAGGGAGCGUGCGAACGCGCCCGAAGGGGGGAGGAGGGGAAUCCCACGGACUUUUCUUUGCACUUCGGGAAAACACCUCCCUCCCUCCCGCGGAGGCUGCGGAACGGGAGCGGAGCGGGCGGCCGGCGGGGAGCGCCGCUCCGAGAGGACGGGCAGAAGCGAGCGGGCGGAGGAUGCUCGGCGGCCGCGGGGCCCCGCGAGCGGCACAGGUUCAGCAGCGGCCGCUGCCGCGCCGAGGCGCCGAGGCUCGGGGCGGGCCGGGCAGCGGGCGACGGCAGCCCUCCACUUGUCGUCCCAUAGGAAGGGUGUCCCCGCGCUGGGACGACGGCGGCGGCGGCGGCGGCCGGGCCGGGCGAUGCCCCCUCCGCUGCCGGCGGCGGCUGCGGCUCACUAGGGCUCUCAUGUUUCGCUCCCUCUUUUCUUCUUCUUUUUAAGCCGCGCGCGGGGAGGUGCUGCCACCGCGCGCCCUGCACGUCACCCGGCGGCACCGGCCGCGCGCGCCUCCCGCGCCGCCGCGGGGGCCCGGCGGGAAGCGGCGCCGCGCCCGGCCUCGCCCCCGGCCCGCGUGCGAGCGGCGCGGGGCCGCGCUCGGCGCGAGCCGCGGGGGCGCGUGAGGAGAGAGAGAGGGGCGCGCGGCGGCGUCGCGCCCCGUAACGGUCGCCCGGCGGCGGCCGUCGGCUCCGGGUCGCCGCUCCGCUUUCGCCCUCGGGGCCGCGGCAGCCGGCCGUCCCCCGGGCACGUGGUCCCCGCUCGUCGGGAAGCGGCGGAGCCCCGCGGUUCCCCGGCGGAAGGCGAGCGCCGUAGGUGGGUGCCGCAGCCUCGACGGGGAGGCGGCCGGAGGGCAGCGCCGGCGUGCGGCCCCGUCGGCGGGCGACGGCCUCGCGCCGCCCCGCUCCGCUCGUCGCCGGCUCCGGCCGGUUCCCAGAGUUCAGGGAACGUUCUGGAUGCGCGUGGUCGAGGCCCGCGCCGACGGCCGAGCUUCGACGGCCGCGGGGAGAGUGUGAAACGAAUUCGAAAUAGCACCGAGCGGUGAAUCGCGGCGGCCGGCCUGUGGCUGCGGCCGCCAGCGGUGGGAGGAAAUGGGGCGAGCGUGCGCCUGAGGUGAUGGGAGACCCGGGCGCGGGCAGAGCGCGGUGCUCGGGGACGGGAGGAGGGGAAACGGGGAGCCCGCGGAGCGUCUGGCCGAGGGAGACGCUGGGGUGCCCCGAAGGGAGGCGGCCCGGAGCCCCGCAGCGCAGAGCCGGGGCGCGGAGAGGAGGUGAGAGAGUCUGCCUGCGGGAACGGGCGUGCUCAGAGCUGCGGUGCAGGUGCAGCCGCGCCGCCGGCGGAGGGAGGAAGGCAGGUGGGCGAACGGGGCCCCCGGGGCUGCUUCCCGGAGCUUCGUGGUGUGCUCUGACGUGGGGAGGGGGAAGUGCCUCGCACCUGAGGAGCCCGUCUGGGGGGAAGAAGGAUUGCAGGGAGGUCCUUGUUUGCGGUAAUGUUUCUGAAGUAACCAGGGCCUGUCACUGUUGUCUUCAUGUUUAUUUCUAAGCAAGGAAAAUGAGCCUCUUCAGAUUGACUUUUGAACUCUUAGGCUUAAACGGUCCACACUGAACUAAAUAGGAAUUUGGCACAGACGAGGAGUACCUCUCAUAAAUCUUGUAGACAUACAAGCUGCUUCUUCUCCCUUUAAGUGCGUUACUUGAAGGCUGGUGGUCCCUUAGCUCACAGCCACCUGACUCUCGUUUGGCUGAAGAUAUUCCUGGCCAAGGCCUGAGCUGCAUCAAGGAUAACAAGAGUGCGCGAAGCCUCUGGUGCAGGGUGUUAAUGGGUGGAGUCAGCGUGGCACCCGUAGGGUUUCACCAGCGCUAGCAAUAGUUUUCUUCUUUGUUGUGUUAGUGGCAGUAUGGGAACUGGUUCCGUGAGCAACCUAGCAGAAGCGAUAUAACUGUUCUACAACAGCUGUGUCGCGUUCAUUUCUCUGGGUUAUUACAUGGGUUAUUCUGAAAUAAAGGUGAUUCUAGUGUAUGAUAACGGAAUAACAGUCUCAGAAUGAAAUCACUUUUACUCCCAGGCAGUCUCACCACGGAGGGUCACACAGGUGGAGCUGUAGAGUCGGAAGUACACAGCUGAAGGCCUGUCUGUUUCUUUCCCUGGGUAGGCAGGUGCUCAUGGUUUUCAAGCAGAUUGUGUACUUUUGCUCCGCUUCUCGCUUAUUGGAAUGGGAAACUGGAACUCGAUGGGAAGCAGUGGCUGUGGGGCAGAUACCCUCUUGAAAAAACAAGUGUUCAGUGAAAAUUUCUGUUGAGCGGUUACAGCCCGGUCCUCGCAGUUCCUGUCUCUCUGGAGGAGAGAGGAAGUGAGGAAUAUAAAUCUAUAUGAUCAAAGUAAUACAGCUAUUAGUAAAUAACCUUUCUUCCUCCUUCAAGUUCUGCCUGCAUAAAUAUCCGUUUCUAUGUAUACCUGUACCAGUUCUCAGAGAAGGUGAAUUUGAGCUGUAUUAAUUAAAUAGAGAAUGAUUUCCCGGGAUGGGAAGCUGCCAAACUAAGAAAGAGCUGACAGUCUGUGAAGGUCAGAUUCUACACAGAAGUUUUGCACAGAUCCAUGCUGAAGACAUUUCCCAGAAAUUCUGUGGAAUGUACUAUUGACCUUGUAUAAUGUGAAGUGCUUGAAACUUUAAGCUCUGUAGCAAUAGAGGGAUAUAAGGAUGUAUAAGCAAGACUUGCAGAGGGUCGAAUGUUUUGUAUAACCCCUAUAUAGAAAUUGCUGAUCUUGGUUUUUUUUGGUUUUUUUUUUCAUGCAAUUUAAUUUUAUGUUCCUUUCCACACUUCAAAAAAGUACACGAUGGCUUCUUUAACAAAGUAUUCUUUUCAAGCUGGUUGAUACAGGAAUUUAUUUAUAAACCUUUUUAAUAAUGCAAAGUUAAGGUCAGUGUUAGAAUAUGACGUUUCAGAGUGUCAACUUCAGGUGACUUUCAACCUCUCAUAAACAGAGAUAAGGGAAUACUUAGGAAGUAGAAACGUAUACAUAGGAAAUAUGGUUAAUAAACACAUCAGUCUUCUAAUGCAACCUGGGUUCUGUCAUGUGAAGUUCAUUACUGGAAAUGAUUGAACGUGAUAAUGCCCUAAGCAGAGAUGAACAAAUUCUGUCAUUUGUUCAGAGUAUGUAGGAUGACAGUGAGGAUCUUUCAGUUACAAUACAGUUACGUGUGUGAGGGUUAGCAAAUUAAAAGGAAGCUAUUGCUGCUACCGUGCUUGAAUGUAGCUGGAUUUCCCUCUAGGUUUGCCCAGGAGAUAAGCAGACCGUACUUAUUGAUACCAUUGCCUUUGUUAACUUUAUUGUUAUCUAUAUCAUUACACAUCAUGGUAUCUGUAUAACAUGAGUGAAAUGUGCCAGGGUACCCUUCAAAGAGCGUAAGGCGAAGACUGUGCAUGCAACUGAACUUACAACUUGUUUUCUUUUUUAAUUUCUGUGGCUCAGCGUUUGAAUUUAAACCAUUGUAAAUAUUUUGCAAGAGAAUUGCAAAAACACACCAAGAAACCUGUUUUAAGAUUUAAAGUUAGUGAAUUCCUUCAUAUUUUGAACAGAAAAGGAAAUACAGCAGCGGCUGUAAUGUCAGUCUGGGGAAGCACAGUUAUCAUAUGAGUUAACCGAUGGGAACGGGAGCUGGGCAAAGGGAUCUCCCCAUUUCCCUGUCAACUGGAUGGAUUGAGACCCAGGAAUCUGGAAAUUUGGAGUGAGAACUUGGGCAGGAAUGUCAGGGUUUGGCAGACCGGGUUUCUGUGCAUCUGGCUUUUUGUUGGGUGAAAGCCUGACUGUCCUGGGAGUCCCAUUAGAAGCGGAGAGUUUGUUCUGGCUCUCGGCUGCAUCACUAGGGCUAGGGUUCCUGUGGCUUCAGAGCAAAGACCUGGAAUAUCAGGAAACCCCGACUCCCGGGCAGUCUCUGUGGCAGGAGUUCCCCACAGCUGUGAACUCUUCAAGUCCAUUUGCUGCUGCAGCUCCUCUGGUAGCGAAGAAGGAAAAUCGCUGGAAUGGUUUCACAAAAGCAUCUUGCGGUUAGUCAGAAGUGUAUAAAACCAUUAUAUUUUUUCCUUAUAUUUUUACUUGUGAUGUAACAGAAUUUUUCAGUUUGGGCAGAACAUUUCUGGUUGGUUCUAUCCGCCAUAUGCUAUAGCCCACAUCAUUUCAUUGGUGUUCAGAAUAAAAUGCUGCUUGUCUUUGCAUACCACAAAUACGAGGUGUGAAAGCUGGUGUAACAUGAAUGAACAGAACUUGCUGGGAUAUUUUUUUAUGGGAAAAUAGAUGCCCAGACAGUCACAGACAAGUUCUUAGGGUAUGUCUUUACCACAGAGUUCCCCUAGGCUCUUAAAAGAAAUCCUCUAAACCAUCUGAAGCCACCUGGACCAUGUGGGACUAUAAACUAAUGUGUCUAGUCUCUAAAGAUGACUUCAAAAAACCCUGAGUUCUUUGUACAAAAGCAGUAUUUGGCUGAAGUGAACUCCGCUUGAUUGGCUCAACAGGGAAUAUGAAUUACGGGUUAUUUUAGCACAUCACCUCAGCUGCUAAUACAAAUCACCAGUUACCUCUGUUCAGUUUUGCAACAUAAGCUAGGCUAACCAGAAGGCAGAUAAAGCAAACCAUUUCAUGAAAGAAUGAGGACUCAAGAGGCCCCUUUGCCUAUGGUCUGCAUACUUUUACUACCUUCUGUAAUUCACCUUAACAGCAUGUCUAUAUGUAUGUGUGUUACAAAGAGACAAAGGAAGCUGCCAUGGGAAAACCUUUCUUUCUUAGCAGGAAGCGUAGUGACCCCACUGCUGAUGGCAGUUUGCUAGCCACGUGUAUGCCAACCCUUGCUCCAGCUUUUGGAGUAUCCUUAAUUCCUCAAGGGACACUUUGUAUACAAAGAUGUAAUCAAGGAAAUGCUGAAAUGCUUUUAAUAGCUAUCACAGGGAUAAAGGUCUUGACAGAACUCAAUAAGGGGCUUAAAUAAUUGUGCCUAAUAUUAUUUGUUGCCUGCCAAGGGCACAGAUAGAAAUCACAGCAUGCCAGUGUUAAAACCAAGCAGUCACAAAACUCUGAAGUGAGCUGCUCAAUGACUGGCAUGUCAGAUAGGACUACACAGAUUUUGUCUGGGGCAGUGUGGUGCAUGUGUAUGUCACAUUUCAUACAUCAAUGUGCAUCAAUUCAUAUUUGAUAUGGGAGAUUUGUUGUUUUUGGAAAUUCUUCAUAGUAGCUUUCGCAUAAUAAAUGGUAAAGCACCACACACUGCAUUGCUGCAGAUAGAACCUAUAUUCAGUUUAAACUGCGCUUCCCAAGUAGUGAAAAACAGUUUUCCCCACAGGUAGAAAUAACGAUGGAAUCAGUAACUAUUUUCACACACUUUCUUAGGAAAAUAUAUAUCUAACUCGUGUAAUUUAGCUUUCAGAAGGAGAUUUAUCUAAUUCAGUAGCAUAAUUUGUCUUUAGGAAAGCAGGAAGUUCAUCUCAAAAAUAUAUGCUUCUAAACACAUCUUUCUCUAAACUACCAUGUCCCUUGGCAUGUGGAGGAAGGUACCAGUGUACCUAGCGGUCAUUCUCAGACACAUGCUAACAGCAUGCUCAAAGUCAGUGUUUUUGGCUCAUCUUAAAGGAUUUCAGAAUGGUGCUGAAACCUGCCUCACACAUCUGAUAUCGUGCAUGCUUCUGGAGGCUCGUGCACUUCUAGGCUUCUUGUCUGUGGCAGCGUAAUACAUGCAUUGUAUCGUCUUUCUAAAGCAAAUUUUACCCUUAAUAACUUUUUCUUUCUUGCUUCCCUGAAGAGUUAUGGGGAGCAUUGUAUUAGCAGCCUAGAUCCUAACUGCAUGAGAGCAGUCUGGAGAGAAUUAAAGCUGAGUCUGAGUCCCACUCAUACAGACAAAGUUGGAAGACACAGGUGGUUUUGUAAACAGCUAAUUGUGAUGAAGACUGAUUUUUGGGAAGUGACUUAGCUUGGUCCGCUUGCCCUCCCUCACAAUCCCAUGAUGCACAGCAGGUUUCAAGUCUGUGGAUCUUAGAUUAUUUACAGUAUUCAACCUUUAACUAGAAAGUGAUGCUUAAGUUAGUUGUAAUUAAAAUGAAACGUAGACAGCAGUUUGGCUAGGAUUUCAGUGUGUGGUCAUAAAGCUACUUUAUGUGCAUGGAGCACUGUCCAGCCAUUAGCUUUUGGAACUCUCUGUUUCUGCAGGCUGAUAUUAUUUUGCCAGGAAUGUGGUCAUCAAAGACAGAUUGGACCGUGUACGUUCUUCUAAACGUUGACAUGAAGACUCCAUUACCUUUAGAGAGAAAUAAAUCUAAGUAGGUGGUAGGUUCACACGCAGGUGGCAAUGUGUGAAUCAUUUCUUUCAUUUAACUGGAAUAUGUAUGAACAAAGAAGAUCCUUGAAUAAAGGUAUAAACUGAUGUGAAUGCCAGAUGAACUUUAAAUGAACUUAAAGUCAAAGCAUAUUUUAAAAAAUAAAUAACCCAGGAUAAGGAGAUACAGUAGUAGAUGCUGGAACUGUUCCUGGACAGGUAUAAUAGAAAACUUCCAGUCUUUGUUGUGUUACUGUGGUAGACUGUAGUUUGCAAAAGAAAAUGCUGCACCUUCUAUGCAUGCUCACAGUCUGGUUCUCUCGAGUUUUCCUGAUGUAGGCAGGCACACAGGACAGGAACCAUAAGACGGCCACAGGUAGAACUGAAGGCUGUAUUACUGCUAGAAACAAAGAGAAAAGAACCAAAAAUGACAUACAUAUGUUAAGAGCAACCAGCAAACUACUUGCUCGUUGAUAUCAAAGUUAUUAAACUUAGAAGAGAACGUUCCUUUGGCCCAACAUGAAAAUAUUCUACAGGGAACCUCAGAGUCCUCUUCCUCGGCAUUAGGUGAACCAGUAUUAUUCAUGUUUAGGUCUCACAUAAUGAUAUUAAAAUAAAUAGUGUAUCGAGAAGAAAAGCACAACAUUAGUAUCCUUCAGUUGUCCAAUUACAAUGUAAUCAGUGGGUUCAGUAUGCGCAUUGAAUCCUAAGCCAUUUCCCGAAGUAGCGAGGAACAGCUGAGAUCUAAUGAUUGAGUUAAGCGCUACCUCCUAACCUCGAGGCAUGCAUUAUAAUCACUAUCAAAUGAACUUUAAGGAUGAGCAGUACUGCUUCAUGGAAUUCAUUACAGGUGUAAGAGAGUCCCUAAUUUCCCAAGGAGUGGUCACCACAGACAAGCAGUUUGAAUGAGGCAAAUAGGCUGUGCUUAACCCUACUGCAGAAGUUCGGUUCUGACUGUGGUAACAACAAGACUUGUGACAACAAGACAAGUGAUUGGUUCUAGCAUUUUGACCUUUCCUAUUCCCCAUAUAAUUUUUUAUAACAGAGCCUGAGUGAUGGUUUAAAACAGCAACAGUAGCUUUCCAGGUUUGGUAAAUAGUUGCAAACUGUUUUCUGUGUCUAAAACUAGAUCAGUAGACAGAGAUCACUCUAAUGGGAUAUAACGACCAAUGGAUUUGCUGUUGACUUCAGUAGAGGUCAGUAACCAGUGCCACUUUUCAGACCUGUCAACUGUAAUGUAUUUUAGUGUGGGAAUUACACGAUUUUCAUAGUUUGCAGGACAACGGACUAUAGUGAGUGAAUUUUUCUAGCCAGUCAGUCAAGUAUAGGUAGGAGUCAAGUGAGUUUCUACAGGCGUUCAACAUUUUUUGGAAAAGCAAGGGUCAGCUGAUUGUUCACAAGGGAAUAAUUCUAGCAGCUGUGUUUUUGUUUGUUUUCAAUAUUAACUAAUCUUUUUCUAGUAUUAAGGCUGAGUUGCUAGCAUUGUACUUUCAGUAGACUGUUUAUGACAAACUUAUCUGAAUAUUUGUAAUGGUGAAAGGCCCUGAGUUCAUCCUGUGCCCCUUCCAGCUUGAAGAAACUGAGGGAUUGUGUGGGCUGCUCUCUGUGGACCUACAUGUUUUUAUAAACCUCACACCAAAUAUUCAGUUCUUCUGGGAGGUUUGUGUAUCGCUCCGCCAAGCAUGGCUUUCCAAAGGGUUUGAACUUUAACAUCAAGGGCACUUGUCUGUCUCAUGAGUAAGUAAUCUGUGCAGACAAAACUUCGGGGAGCACUUCUAAGUGACAGCUGUACAUUCCCUGAGACUGCUGUUGUAACAAGAAAUCAAUGAACUACUCUGGAAAUUGCAGAACUGGAAUUGUUUUGACAUAACUGAGCGGACUGGUAAUAACUGCAGAGUUGCCAGUAGAUGUUUUUUUUUAGGUUAUAGUUUUAAGAAGUUUAAGUAGUCAUUUUUAACAUGAUGGAAAGAAUGUGAUUUCUAGCAGAUGAGGUAGUAAUUAUGGGUUAUCUAUCUUUGUAGUUUGCUACUAGGAGGGAGCCAUAUAAGAUGCACAAAGGGUGCUUCUGUAAAAAAAAAGUUUUGACAGGCAAACAGUCCUUUGCUUCUUUAGUUUCUUACUGAUCUUUAGUUUAGAGAUUUCACAUAUGGGAUUCCGCACUGUAUCUUGAGGUCCACCUACCUACAUCCUUCCUACUACUAGAAUGACACUAAAUUCUGAACAUUAACAUUUAAGUGGACCAGUGAUCAUAUUUUGACAUCACAUUUUAAAGCAUGCCAGAUUCACCUGUUGUGGGGUAGAGCUAAGAUACCCACGUUCCUUUUCUUUGAAGAAAAUAAAAUUCUAUGAAUAAAAAGAAAAUUAGGCUAGCACUGAAAAGUAGAAAAAAAAAGUUAACAAUUCAUGAUAAAAUAGGAAAGGAAAAGGGAAUAAAGAAAUGAAGGUUCUUUCAGACAUGCUUUAUCCUCUCAGCUGUGACUUGUUCCAGAACCCAUGACCCACUGUUCUCUACAUUUAUCAGUUCUCUCUUGAUGAUUCCCUUAUUAUCAUUGUCCUUCUAACCUUGGCCCAAACUUCAUUACUGUAGUAUGACAUAGUGUGAUGUUUUGUUUCUUGUGAGUGCAACGAUCACAUAUAGUAUCUGUUAAGUUAUAUAUCCUUAUGUUCAUUUUUAUACUUCUUGUUAAUAGCAACUGAUAUGGAAAAUUUUCAGUCAUGCAGUGAUAGGAAACUAGAAUUGGCUGGUGCACUACUUAAUUUUGGACAAUUAAGGAAUCUGUUUUCUAGUUAGCUCUGAAACAAAAACCAUUACAAUGUAGUCUGAUUCUUAGUUGAGAAAACCAGUGACCUUACUCUGUUUUAACAUAAAGCAAGAAAAACUUAGACAUCUUAUGCUUUGUCAUAUAGGUUUAAUGCUGCAUCUGUAUAUUCGUAAACAUUUUGGAAUAUCUAUUAUCCAUCCGAUGGAAAAGAAAUGAGUUUCUGUUGGGUCAGUAUAUGUCAGAAGUGAGCAAAUACUCAGAUAUUUCUAUUCAAGUAGUUCAUAAAAAUUCCUUUGUUUUCAUGGCCAUAGUUUUACAUUUCUGAAACAUGUAUAAUAUUCUGCAGCUGCAAUUUCUCAAAUUUGCUUUUCUUGUGGAAAUGAAGCUUUGCUAAGAGCUGAAUUGCUUGAUGCUAUGAUUUUGUUUACAUAUCUUUUGAAGGGAUACAAUUGGAAAUGAUGAUAUCACUGUCUUACAGGUAGCCAACACCCUUGGCUGUGUGAAUUUUGGCUGAGAUGGUGAGGAGUGUUGCCACCCAAGUAUGAUUCCACCGCCAACUCCAUCGAUGUUUCACACUGAGAAUGGGUAAUUAGUUUUCAUUUAAAAACUUUUUGUUGACAAUAAAAAAAUGAAAGUAUCACUAGAGAAUACUACUUGCUGUUGAUUUCAGGUACAAUGUACAUCUAAAUUAAUUUUAUUUUCAUACGGUGGUUUGGCUGAAACUGAAUCAGCUAGCUUUUGAAAUGAUUACAGUGUUAAUGCUGGAAUGAGGCACAAAAUUAAAUAGAAGGCUGCAUACAAUUAUUCUCACAGCCUUUAUUAUCUACAUCAUAUCAAUAUAUUUCUGGCCUUCUGUUUUAAGGCCCUUGGAACUGAAUUUGCCAUCUGUAUUUUACAGUUAUUUAUAUGUUGUUCUGCAUAGUAGCAAUCAAUCUUUUAUUUUGUCAUCUAAUUGAUAUUACAGUAAUCAGUAGAGUAGUAUUAGAGGAAACUUUGAAGAAACAGUGGAAGUAUAGAGGUUAAAGGAGUAACACUGAUUAGAGUGGUGUUGUAUAUGGAGAACGUACAUACCUUCUCUUGUUACUAAGUUAAACAUAUGUAGGUGGUAAUUGAGACUUGUUGAAUUAGAGUGCGAAAGCUCAGCUACAGACAUAUUCAGAAUGGUAAUUUCUUUUGUUCUAUGAAUAACUCUUAAGUAAAUGAGCAAAGAUCACAUGCAGUGAAAAGAAGGAGAUAAUAAAAUAAUACAUUACUUAUUCUUGUCUAAAUCCUAACAUGAUUUAUAAAUUUGGGAAAAGAAAGCAUAUUCCUUUACAUUUCUAAGAGACUGAAAUUCUUUAAGUUACAGAAAAACUGAAAGAUCCUAAGCUUUGGAAGUGUUGAUAGUACAAACAUAAAAAGAACUAAAAAUAGCUGGGCUUCACUGAAACUACUGGCACUUUUAGUAAAACCUGUAGUAGAGACAGAAUUUUUUCCUGGGUAUGUGAGGCAUGGAAAAUCUGUGACAGGACUUCCUGGGAUCCUUUUCUGGUCAUAUUCAAAAUCCUUUUCAGAAAGAGAACAGGAACUCAUCAGCUGUUCAAAACAGUCAUGUCUCUGUUGAUUUCAGUUGUAGUAACUUCUACUACCUAAGAAUCUGCCCCAGGAACUUUCUAGAAAGACACUUCAGUGCUAUUUUAUUUGAAAGGCUAAAAAGUACUCGUGAAACAAAGAUCGCCUUGUGCUCUAUCCUGUGCAUUAUUGUUUCAGAAUAUUGAAGUAUAGUGGUAUUGCAAAAUUCAUAAAGGUAAUAUAGUUUAAUCCUGUUAACCAAAGUGGAAUCCAGUUUCUAUCCAUCAUCUUCGAUGGUCUUACAAUAUCCUCUUUGCUAACCAGACUUUCUUGCACUGAAUUACUGUACUCAUUAUUUAAAUCCCAUUAAUUACUUUAAUCCCUAAAAUUACUUUACUUUAAAUUUAGAAAUACUACUAUUACUAGGAAAUAGCAAAUGAGCUAGAAAAAUAUGGCAUCCUUUUCAGAAUAUACUUUUAGCACUGGUACUUAAAAAAUGGAACCUAGUGCUGUUCCACUUGCAAACUUAAGAGCUUUGGCACACAAGCAUGGUCACUGAGAGAUAAUGAUCACUAUCAUUUCCAUGGUAUCACUUCAGAUACAGCCACCUAACAAAGUGACUUAAAGAUACCGUGGAAAUAGUUAGGAAUUUGACUGUAUUGCUGGCUGUAACUGCAGGGAGAGUUCAACAAAUCAAAAUAGCUCCAAAGUGAUCCUUCUCCAAUUUGCUGUCCCUAAUGCUUCACAUUCCAUAUAGCCUGCAGGAGAGGAAUAUCUUCUUUUUUUUUUUUUUCACCCUAAGAAAGAAGUGUUGCUCAGCAGAGUUCACUUUGCAGGGUAGGAAGACUUUAAGGCUUCUAGCUGCUGCAAAAACAUGUGCUGAAUAUAUUGUUUUGGUUGGUAGUUUAAGUAUCCUAGCAAGUCCUACUUAGUAAUCUGUCUGAUAAGGCUUGAUUGUGCUUCACUGUGUUUAAAUUUUUGGGGAAACUGUUUAGAUAACAGAAGUGCUCCAGUGCUUGCAUUUGUGUAAAACUCCAAAAUUAGAAAAUGCAGAAUUCUGUAGCUGAAGGUCUCAGAUAAGUGAAAUACCAAAAGCAGUAGCAUAUUGUGAUAUUUUAUUCAAUAUCUCAGCAUUAGCUUCAGUGGUACCUUGCUUAAGUAGUGUGUUUUAUCUGUAUUUUUGUUGGUUGAGUUUCAUAGUACUUUGCAGUAGGAGAAUCUACAUAAGGAAAAGGUCAUGUGUAGAUCAUCUAAGUUUUCUCUUAAUGAUACUGGAUUGUGCUCUGUAUUUUUGAGAGAUUCUGACUUUUCCAGCUUUAAACGCUAAUAUCAAGUCAUAGGUGGUGAUAUUUCUAUUAUUUGGCAUUAAAUUUUCAUUAAAUAAUAUGUAUUGAAAAUAGUGUGUUCUCAGAGACGGACAGCAUCCCAUAUCCGUAUGGAAAAUAAUCUGCUUUAAAUCCUAAGAACUUUUACUGGGUAACUAGUAAACUGUUUAUUACUGCUGUUAUGCAGUCAUUUUCUCUUCUCUAACUGCACUCAUUUAUACAGUGCAAGUGAUAGAAUAUAGAUGUCCACUUUCUAUUCAGUCCAAGUCUCAGUAUCGCAAAGCUGUUACUUCAAGGAAGAACAGUUUAAGCUAUAGACCAUAGCCGUUGUAACAAUGAAUGGAUUCCAAAGGAGACUACAGGAAUCUUGUUAAAGUUAACAUUUCAGACUUUCUAAAUCCUGUACCCUGGACACAUUCCUUUACCUUUCAUUGAAGAUAUCCAUGUGUGGUUCCAGUGAUAGCAUUGUUGUAAAUGCGGUUGUUCAGACUGUUUUGUUUACAUAAAACUCUUCCUUUCCCCCCCUGCCCCAACGUUGUUUUCACUGUUCACAGUGUUUUUACUUAAAUCCAUCAUUUUGAUAAUUUUAACGGGACAAUUCUAUUUCAUGUACUUAUGGCACUUCAUGUGAAACAGUUCUGCCUUCAUUUCCUGUUUAUUUUUAGAUGUUAAUUUUCAGACUUUUUCCAUCCCCUUGGGUUUUUUAAAAUCCUGUUUGGUACAAACCAGGGUGGUCCAACUGGCAGCCCAAGGAACAAUUCCAUCUGGCCUGCUGCAUUUGCCAAGGAGGAGCUAGGAAAUGCCUGUAAGGGCACGCACUGCCCUCACAAGCAAAUAUUACCUAUUGCUCAGAUACUUAACCGUGCUUAAAGCCCAACUGUUGUGCCUUGUCCAUCCAGAAAAAGAGGCUGAGACUAGUCUUACCCUUUUUCUUGAGCUCAGCCAAAUGUCUGGAGGGGCUAGCUACACUUUCAAAACAAUCUUCAAGGGGGGUGUUUCAAGUGGAAAAUUGCACCUGUCCUGAAAAAUCGUGGGCUACUGUUGUUUUUCUGGUUAGAUUGACAGAAAACUCUGCUUAAUUCUCAGAUCAGUUGGAGCUAGUUAGAAUUUUAAUAUCAACCUUAGCAAAACUGGUAUUAUUCAUUCAUGGUAUCUUUGCUGGCUUUGCAUUUGUUUUCUGUAUGUGCUUUCCGGCAUUUCACUCUUUUUCCCUUAUUCAGCUUAUCAUAAUGAUUAUCAAGCUCUGUCCACUGAAAUCACUGUGAGAACCAACUAUUUUUUGUGUAACUGAUUAUAUAACUUCAAAGGAUUUCAUUUGACUGCUGUGUACUUAUUUCUUUGUUGGAUAAUAUUCUACCUUUAGAGGUACUGGGGUGCCAUACUUGAAAUGAGUGCAUCUGCCAGCAUGCAGUUUCUCUCAAGGAGUCAUCACAGAAGCUGAACUUAUCCUAUGUAUUUAUCCAUUAUGUUUAACAUUAGCUCCCAAUCUAUAAGAAAACGAGCAAUACUAAGCAUAAGCUCUAACCAGUGCCUCAUAAAACAGUAAUAUCACAUAUUUUGUUGUGUAUUCCACCUCCAUUAAAAAUAAUUAUAACAAUUAGGUGGAAUGAAGCAGACUACAGCUUGGUAAAAGACUGCAAUAAGCAGAUACCAUUUACUAUUACCACGUAUCUUUGAGUGAUGACAGCAGAACUCUGCCAGUUUCGGUAUCCUUAUUCAAAGCACUGUUGCACAUGGAAUUAUCAAACAUGUAAGAGAAAUGUACAAAAUAUAACACAGCAUAUACAUUUUAUGCUAAUGGCUUUUAGCAUCCUACUACCUUUUAAAUUGUAGAACAAUAUUGGAUUAAUGUUUGUAACUCAGAAGCCCUUUCCUGUUUAGAGCGUUCAACAACACAACUGCUCUAUUCAGUCUGCGCUCAUUUAUUUUAAAAUAUUUCUUUUUGUUUAUUGUUCUUGGUCCUCCACUCUGGUCUGUAGUGUUCCCCAUUUGUUCCCCAUUAUACUCUGCAUCUCCAAUUUUGGUUAAAAAACCGCCAUGUAUUUCUGAUACAGAUCAUCUUGCCAGGGCUUCUUUUUGGUCUUCAUUAAUCUCCCUUGUUUUCUCUCUCCUCUUUGUCUUUUCUUUCUUAUUGUCUUGUGUCUCACUCUUUUUGCUAUCUAUAGCUAGGAUGUCUUUCCUUACGUCUUUCUUUCCUUUUCCUUCUUUUUCCAUUUAAUGCUCAGCUGUUUUUUUAAUACUGGUUUUCCUCCAUCUUCUUUUGGUGUUCCAUUUCUUCUCUCUGAUUUUCUCUCUGUAUCUUUCAGUCUUUUUUCUUUAUCUUUCUGUCCUAUUCAGUUUGCUUUCUGUCCUGCAUGCCUGAUUGUUUCCCUUUCUCUUCCUUAAUAUUGUCUAUCAUCUGAAAGAUGACUGAUAAUGACAGAAAAGAGGAAAGGAAGACAACAGCUGAAGGAAUUAAGGCAUGAAGUAACUUUCAGAGAAGGCUUUUUUUUCAGGAACAAAUAAUUGAAUGAAAUCAUCAAAUAAGAACAGAAACAAACAAACAAAAAAGACUAAAUUGCUUAUGGCUGAUUAUUCAUUAGUGAAUGGAGUUUACUUGAAAAUUGUGGUUGAUGAUGUUGUAGGACUAUGUGACAGCUUGCUUAAAAGUAUAAAAAGCGUAAGUAGAGGCAAAAAAAAGUAGCCAUAACAUAGUCAUAGGGUGCAUCUAGUGAUGUUCAUAGAAAAGGUAGGAUAAGGAUAGGCUAGUGAAAGAAAUAAAUACAGAAAUAAGACCAGGAGACUAUGCAGUCAUACACUAAGUAUGAAAAGAUGGUGAAUCAGAGGCAAUAAAGACUUACAUCAAGUAUUUGGAGCAAGUUGAAAAACAGAAAAAGUAGCAUGGAACUGAGAACAAGCAGUGAUUAUUCUGCUACAUAAGAUGGAAAAACAGGAACAGUGGAAAUGGCAGCAGAACCAGCCUACUGAGGGUACCAGACACACUGUUCAUUAAAGUAAUUUCAAACAGGAUGCAAAACUAUCUCGAUAAGACAGUGAUGCACUAGGAAACGAGUGGUUUUUAAAGGGUGUGGUGCAUUCUGAUUAAAUGGUCCCUUGACUAGAUUGUAGAAAGUGAUCGGUUAGAAGAAUUUAGGUCAUACUUACCCAUCAGAUGGUGGUUACUCAGUAUUUUUAAAUUGUACUGGUGAACUGUCCAAAUUUUUUGUCUCGAUUCUGUUACUUGUAUUCAUGUUUUCUGAACAAAAAUGUAUUUUCAGAGUUUUUACCCUGAUUUAGGGAAAUCACUGCCACAAGCAGAGUGUAGCAGGUCACUGGCGUAACUGGAAUAACAGUCCUGUAAAAAUGUAACAAGUUUUUCAGGGGCAGUAUGUGCAAGAAAUCAUUUUUUCAAUAUAUAUGUUCAUUCCUGCUGCUUCUACAGCAUUUCUAAAAUGCUUGUCUUGCCUCUGUGGCUACCAAAGAUUAUCAUAAAGUGGUGUGCAUUAUCACAGUAUGUUGCUUGGUGAAAACUUGAGAGAAACACCAGUGAAUCAUCUAUAGUUUACCAGUACAGUGAAUAAUUUGAUGGCAUUACCUUUGUGGCCAGAAUGUUUUCUAGCUUGGAAGUCUCAUUUCCUGGAAAAAUUAUCCAAGGAAAAGGUAUCAGAUACCCGAGUACCAUGAGUUUCCUUAAACAAAUGUGAAAGAAGCGUAUCCUUAAUUAAAACAUAAGCAAAGUAUGCAACAUUUAACCGAAAACCCAACAUAAAGGCAAAGUUGGAUAGAACAGAAGACAACACAAAGUACUUUAGUGUACUCUCGUUGUGCUAAAGAAAUCUCACCAGCGUCUGUGGGACAUGCGCGUACGGAAUGAAGAGUAAGAGAUGUAUAAUAUGUUAUUUGUUUUCAAUUAUUGUCUUGGAGAAGAGAAAAAUAAAGUAGAUUAAAAACAUUUCAUUAAAAAAGAAUACUGAAGAACAUUUUAUCUGGAAAAUGAUUACAUACUGCAGAUUGAUUACAGUAGUGUUAUUUUAAUGUGUGAAUGAUUCAUUUUUAUAGCAAUUUGAAGAUGAGAAAGGAAAAAGAACAGGCAGUGCUGUACUUUAAAUAGUUAUGGGCACUCAACCUGCAGUCCUGCCAGUUGCAGUAAGUAUAAGCAAUCUCAGUGUCUGACUGAACAGUGCAUAUAUAUCCCUUAUUACUACAGAUACACCCAAACAAUUUUCAUGACCUGUGAAUCUGUUCAAGGCAACAGACGCUUGACUGGGAGCCCUUUGAUUUUCAUGUUCUUCUGGCUCAUUCCCUGCUAUGCAUUAACUUUUCUUUGUAGGUAUAUAGGAGUGAAAAUUAUACCAACAUGGUGUUAAAAGCUUUUUUUUACAGAUAUACAAGAGAACAGAAAAGAUGAGCAAAAUGCCGACUUCUCUUUUAAAUUUUGUUGUGUUUUUCGUUUGUUUGUUUUCUUUGUGUUACUUCUAUUGCAUAUGGUUGCAGUAAAGAAACGAAGGGGAUUAUCUCCCUCAAGUGAAGCAGAUGUUUUACUGAGCCAAGUCUGAAAUCUUGUUCUUUGUAAGGAAGCAAGAGAGAAUGCCUAUUUAUGGUAUUUUGCAGCUGCACUGAAGGAAAUAUUCCCUUCAGAUUGUGUUGAGUGGUUCCAUAGUACACAACGUUUGUGGUCCCUCAGUUGAGCCAAGAGCCAUGUAAGCUACUUCUAUUCAGACUGGACCUUAAGGAUCUGAUCCUCAGACACGAAGACAGUCCUUCACAAAUUUAUCACUCAGUGAAUUCAAGAUUUUCUACAAUAAACAGAAUUUGCUCCUGUCCUAGUGACAUGCGUUGCUGACUCAUUGCUAGUUGAUCUUUUCAAGUAUAACUCUCUGUGUUCAAGGAGUUACAAAGAUCUCACAAGCUUUCUACAAGAGACAGUGAGAACUGUAGUCCAUAACGUAUCUCCAAAGCUAUUUGCAUUGAAACAUGUGAAUCAUGGCCCAGUUUUGUGUUUUUGUGCAGCAUGUUAUGGUGGAGGUCCAAGAGGUAAGGGUUUGUCUGCUUCCAAACUGUAUGUGCAGAAAAGCGACAGUAUUUGAGGACACUGUUGUCUUGACUACUUCGGAACUGUCUCCCAUCAGUGGAUGUGAGAACUGGGGAUGUUUUGCUCCCUUUCUGUUUCUGUAGCCCUACAACCUGGUUCCUAGCAUACAGCUGUUAUUUACAGAAAUAUCAAUAAAUUCUGGAUGGCAAGUUCAGUAAGUUAAUUAAUUCAGGAAACUUUUAUCUUCUUGGCCUAUUGAGCAGUAGGAUGGUUUGGCCCAGAGGGAGCAGUGUUUGUCAUUCAGAGCAAGCCUGUCUAUCCCUAUAUGGUACUGUGUUGCUCCAGUUAAAUAUACCUCAACUGAGUUGACAACGCAGCAUAACUUCUUGGUUGCAUAAUGUUUGCCCCGAUUGCUUUGUGUGUGACCUCUCUAGCCAAACCCUGCCUUGAGUAGCUAAUUUCCAUGUGGGAUUUUCUGUGUGAUUAUUACUGUAUUAAAUGAGUUCUCUGCAAACAAGAAAUAAUUUAUUUUGCGAAAUGAGCUGCUAUGUCUCCACAGAAAUAUGUGUGUACUUGAAACACUGAAAGAGCAAAUCCUGCUUUUUCAAGAAUGUCCAGUCCUCAGAAUUUAGGAGACUUUUGGUCUGACUGCUUAUAUGGUUUGGAGCUGUUUAUAGAGCUUGAAGUGUGAAGGAAAAAAAAAAUAAAAAAGAAAAACUCUUGUUGACUUCUGUUGCCGUUGUAAGAAUUCAGGUCUUCUGGCAGACUUCAGAGACAGAACACAGUUCCAAUAAGGCAGCCUUCCAUUCCAUUUUUGAGACCUUUCUUUUCUUGUCUCUCACCUCUCGCUUGAACAGUCUAUUGCCUCAUCAGUUAUAGUGCUGAUCCUUCCCCUUCGAUCUCCUCUUGCAUGGCUGAAGAUGGACUUUUAAAUUGACAUUCAGGUGACAGAACUGAUCUUUGAUUUUCUUGGUCCUUCCAGUGCACCAUUUGCUUCCUGGAGCAAGUAAGGCUAAUGUCUAAGCCUAAACCUUAAUCAUUCCAUAAACACUAUGAUAACUGAACAAACCAGGAUGGUUAUAUUAAUGUAAAAGAGAUUAAAUAUAGUCAUUAUGCAUGCAGGAAGAAGUUAAAGGUUGCACAGGUGAAUAAUACUGAUAUGUACUGAAUUUUGAGUAAGACUUUGUAGCAUGUUUCAUUCUUUAUACAGAUGUUAAUGGACCAUCCUGUCUUAAAAGGUAACAUAAAGUAAACAAAAUAAGAUGUUCCUGAAAAGCAGUUGUCAUUAGGUAGAACGAAAUAGACUGCUACAUUGGUAUUAAUGGAGAUUUCACAUACCUAUAGCACAGAUUCUUGCAUAUCUCCAGAUGGAGUAUCUGGCACCAGCCAUAAGCUGUCAUCUCUUUCGUGGGUUGGCCACAGCAUGGAGAAGAUACAUUCAGUUUAGCAGUGACUUUCCCUGCCAUGUACCUACAGCAGAGGGGUGUUGAAAACUGAGAACUGUGUGUCCUGUAACUGUGUGUCCUAUUCCAGGUUCUUGUGGGAAGCAGUUCUUCUAAUUUUCUGCACGCUUUUCCCACCGAUUUGCCACUUCUGUCCUUGUCCAUUAGUGUAUCACACAUGGCCAGCAAUCUUUUCUGGUAGCCCUUUGUCUGCUGUCAGACCUUCCCAUCCACACAGAUUCUCUUUUCACUCACUUUUUUUAUGAGCACUGUGUCUUCCAAACCAAGCGAUUCUUUCUCUGAGCUGUGUGUACAACAGGAGGAACAUUGAGAACAGAGGAAGACUGUUCGCCUCUUUUCUGUUCCAGUGCCCAGUUCCAUAAUUGUUUCUGGCAGCUAUGAGGAGCUGUUGCAAGAAAAAGCUCUGUUCAGUUCUGGAAGACAAAAUGUGAAAGCAGACUCCAUAAGGAAUGUUGCUUGAUACCCUGUAACAAGCUUUUAUUGAGCACGUGCAAACUCUUACUAUUUAUCGGAAGUUUAUAGCUUGUCCAAACAGGGUGAGAUUGCAUAGUGACAGUGAAAAGCACCCUGCCAAAUUUUAAGUCCUUUCUUCAAAGAAUGAAGGUUGAAGACCCUCUCAGUGAAACAACUGUAAGAACUUUUAACACAGGCAGAACUGUGUAAUUUAGCAUCUUUAUUGCUUUUAAAGAACUGAGGUUAAAACCAUAAAAUCAGUAAUGUAGUGGCAUACAUGUUUAGAAGACUUCUAGAGGCAGCAUCAUUUGACUAAUAUUGUAGAAAGUCACAGAUUCAUCCACAGGACAGGAGUUACUAGAAAAACAAAGUACCUAUUUUCUAGAAAAAAAAAAAAAACCAGGAAAUUUUUAAUGUGUAUCUGACUCCACAUGAAAUAAAAUUCAUCAGACCAUCUGAUAUAAAAUUAACAGUUUUCUGAUAACUGCUAGCUUGGUCUCAUUAAAAAAAGAAUAGAAAAGGAAUGACUUGAUCUGCUGAUCAGUAAAUAUAACUAUGCAUUCUUACAUACCAAUAGGACCACUUUGUGUUCCUUGACAACUCUUUGGGGAUUUACAGUUUGGUCAGCUUCGGUAUCUGCAGAGAAUGCAUUAUAUCCUGAGUGGAAAGCUGCUCCUUCCUCAGGAGAGUCAUGUAGCACUUAAAUAUUGGUUAAUCCUUGGAGUGGUUGGAGUCUGUUCUGGAAGCCUUCUCUGACAGUUUGGCUUAUUGAGGAAUAUUGUGAAAGAAUUUUGAAGGGAACAGAAUUCCCCAUUUGAUUAAUAGCUGGGGGGGACUGAAUGGAUGAAUUAUCUUGUCUCUUCUGCUGGCUGUUCUGAAACCAGACUGUCAUUCAAGAAGAGACAACGAAGCCAAGUCACCUACCUAGGACAGGCUGAAGUGGCAAGAGCAUUACCUCAUCUUCUCUUUCUUCUAGUUACAGUAGGUCUAAAAUGUAUAAAGGAUGGGGAGUGAAGAUUCCUGAACUCUUUGCCAGCGUAUGACCCUGGAUUUUUUCUCACACCUGAUUUAAAUUAUCUGUAUCAUUGAUCAGUGUCACGGAGUUAUCUAGAUAGAUCUAUGCCUGUGAUAGGGGGGCAGUAGGCUCGCAGGCCCCCCUCGCUUCCCAAGAAAAAAUGGAGCAGCGGCAACGAUCUAAGGAGAACUUAUUUUACUAACUACGAUGUUGGAAUGCAAGAUGACACAAUAUAAUACAAUCUAAUUGGGAGUAAGGAUAAUAAAUCAAAUGAAAUGAGAGAGAGCAAAAGAGCAAUAGAGAGAGAGAGAGUGAGAGAGUUUCCGAAACCAAAAGCUCUACCUGAUGAAGGCGCAUGGCUUGGAAGCACACCCACUCCUCUCCCUGGCAGCAAGCGAAAGUGAAAAAGACUGCACGCAACCAGAUGACAUAUCUUUUGUGAUGUAUCUUCCUUCUCUGACUGUGAGGUCCUCUGGGAUACGUAGUUCUUCUCUUUUGUCCAUGAUGUUAUGAUGUGGAAUACCAAUAGCAAAGUUACAAAACCAUGAGAAUCAGAAUGAGGGUAUCAAGUGCACCCUCAGUAAAUUCGCAGAUUGUAACAAGUUAGGCAGGACUGUUGAUCUGCUUGAGGGUAGGAAGGUUUUGCAGAGGGAUCUGAAUGUAAAUUAGGUUACAGUUUGCUGUCAAGAUUAUUUGGAUAAUCGGAUGUCUCGCUUUCUAAGGUCCUUAAGGAAAUGCAUAAUUUUAGUUUGUCUACCAUUCAUGAGAUUAUUCUUCUUUUUCUGUUUGAUUUUGAAAUGUUUUUAGUGAGUUGAACUAUUCAAUUUGAGGUGAAAUCUGAGCUGGAUGGAAUUAAAUCCAGAUUCUGAUGACUAGCAGCAACAAUCUGUGAAUUACAGGCAUAUAUGUUUAAUAUCUCCCUUGAGAGUAGGAAAGUUCUUCAGAUGUUGAAACUGGCUUAAAUAAUUUAAAUUAAUAAGACUGGUGGAAAUUCUUUGGCUAAUAAUGCUAGUCUGAUUUCUUCAUUUCCAUUUGAAAAUAGAAUAUUUGUAAUAGCUGUUAAUAGUGUGUUGAUUUAUUUGACUCUGUUACUCAAGGGCAUGGUUUGUGUCCCUAUACUUCCAUGUUAGAACCAAUGAGAUUAAUAUUAUCAAAUUACUUAAAAAUACAUGUAUUUCUGUAAAGCAUACAUAAUAUAAAAAAUACAUAUAUAUUCUGUCAAGCAUACAUAAUACAAAAUACAUAUAUUUUCUGUCAAUAUGGUUUUUUAUGUUCCUGUUUUUGCUUGGUGUAGUAAGACUAAGCAGAAUGCCUGGCUAUUCUUUGCUUUGUUUCUGUGAAAGAUGGGGGGAAUGAUACAGCUGAUAUCAUCAUAUUAUUGUCAUUGUUAUUAUUAUUAUUGCUAUUAUUACCUUGGCUGGAAAUGCUGAUUCAUUGACACUUUCACUGGGAAUAAGGAGGAGAGAAUAGAUGAAUGAAAAAUUGAAUGGGGCACUGUGACUGCUUUGCAGAAGGCCAAGUUUCAAAUCCCUCUCUGACUCUAAAAUAAAGGCAGACAGGAAUGCUUUUAUUGGUAUUACUGAGUCUCUCCUUGCUCUUAUUUUAUGGAGAAGCUUUGAAAUUUCUGGGGUUAAUUCUAAUGUGGAACAGAAAUAUUUUUGAGAUUUCAAAGUUUCACAGGAAAGGAACGAUUUACCACUUAGCUACAGUGUCAACAAUUAGCAUGAAGUAAAACAAUUGUCAGUACCAUUCAUUCUGUCUUUUCUUGUCCAUGUUUAAAAUUUCUUAUUCUUAUCCACAAAAUAUCCAGGUUAUUGGUAGAAGAGUGCUUCUGUUUGCUUCACAAAAAUGGAGCUAUUUAGUCUCAUGAUAACAGAAUUUUUAGGAGUAAGUGCAAUAUUACAACAUAAAAACUGCUUGUUAGCAUGGAUCGUACAUUAAGCUUUCAUCUCAUUUUUCCUUAGAUUCAUCCAUUUUCUUCCUUCAUGAUUUCAAGUCCUAAUAUGUCUGUACUUCAGCAUUUGUAGGUCAUUGCUACUUAUCUCCUUGCAUACAGAAAUAAGCAGCAUUAUAUUACACCCACAUUUCUUUCCAGUGGUUUUCAUUCAUUACAAGUUCUGUUAUAACUUGGUUUGGGAUUUCCUGUGAUCCCCUGCACUACCCCAUCAACCCUCCUUGACUUUAUUUAUAUCCUCUUCCUUUAGUCAAACAGAGAUGAGGUCUUUCUCUUCUGUCAUACUGUUAAGCCACAUAGCUAUGAGUUUGUUCUACUUUAGUGAACUUCUUCAGUCUCUUCCUCACCAUCUGUUUUCUAAUGCUGCCAAACCCAACAUUUCCUUUCUUUUCAAAGCAGUUUUUCAACUUUUUCAUUAAUGCCAUCAUGUUUAAUAUUUAGCCUCAUAAAAUAUUCUGAAUUACUGUUAAGAGGCGCUACAAAAUAGAAGAUACGUCAUUGUAUUUUACUGUACAAAGGAGGAGUUGUGAGGAACUUGCCCCAGUUUUAAUGGUGAUAAUGCAGUAAUAACACCACUGUUACAUACUGUAUGGGAAAAAUAGUGCUUAGUGUAUUUAUAAACUGUGAGUGUGCAAUCCAGAUAUCAGGACUGCUCGCUUAGGAUCUCCAAGUCGAAAUAGAAUUCAUUUUGUGAUUUUAUAGUAACAGCAACAUGGCAAUGGCUGCUAAAUCAAGAAGUCUUGUUAAAAUCCGAGAGGACCAGGCACGUGCAGAUUUAACCUGUACAUUCAUUGCAAUAUAGGGGUACCCAAAUACCUGAAUAAGUAAGAAAGUUUAACUUCUGCAGGAACUCUUGCUUGGAAAACAUGAAUUUACAGAACAGAAUCAGUUGUUGUGUUCCUGAGUGGCCAUACAGCAGGAUGGUUUUUUGUAGCUGGCUCAAAGGUCUCUGCCCUCCUGUUUUGGUUUUUUUUGUUUGUUUGUUUUCUGUAAUGUGAAUUACACACCAGUCCUAAAUGUUUCUUUAUUGCUGUGUAAAAAAAUAAUGCAUUUGAAGAUUACCUCCAGAAGAGGUAUAGUAAAUAGGUAGAAUUUAAAGCACAUUAUACUUUAUUGCAUGUUGUCAUCAGUAAAAAGUCAGGGACGCUUUAAAAAAUAGAGUUAAUCAGAUACAGAAACUGUUAAGUAAAACAAUUUUUAUGAGUCCCUCAUAAGGCAUAGCUAGGAGAAAACUUCUAGCUUGCAAUGUUGCAUACUUUGUCAGUUAUCAAAGAGAAACAAAAUCAAAUUUAGCUCGUGGGAAGCAUGACUCUUGACAUUCAAACCUUUAGAAGCUCCUGCCCUGUAAGUGAUUAUUUUUCUGCUCAUUUUCUAUAGCUAAAAAUAGAGUAUGGUAGGGUCACUGGUUGGUAAGUAAUUUGAGAAUGAAUUUUCAUGUCUUAUAAUGUCAUAUAUGAUUUAUGUUACAGUCUUUAGUUAGCUACUUAAGGCUGCUUAGUAGCAAAACUGCUUUUAAUAAAUAUGACAGAGACCAUCACCUUCUGAAAAGGCAGCAUGUGUCAUUGAAAUAAAGGCAGUCAUACAAUAGCUUUAGAAGAGGAGAGCCAUGGCUGAACAAGCAGCUUUACUGUUCUUUUGUGUUAGACCACCUCAGGGAGUAAGGAGUAAGUUUAGUUUAUUGCCUUAGUUUAGCUUUUGGUUUAGUUCUAAACUGAAAUUUUCUGGCAGCAAGCUGGAAUGGGUUCUUAAUAGGGUAGUAUUCCAGAAAGUGCAAUAGUACAAAUGCUGUCAAAUGUUGGCAGCGUACAAAAUGCAGUAGGCACAAAUUUAUUUGUCCCUCUCUUUGUUGUAAUGUUUGAAUGUGCAGGUACAUGAAUAUAUGAGACUACAUGUAUAAAACCUAGCAUAUAUGCAUGGGUUUGAAAAGAGUUGUGUUAAUAUGCAUGGCAGAUAACUUCACUGAACUCAAAGCAGAUUUGCAAUGUGAAGCAGUGUAAGAAAAGAGUCAAACCUCGUGUGUAUCAAGGACAUAGGUCAAAUUCAAUUUUAUUGUAAGAGAAAUCACAUAUAAUUGUAGACACAUAAACACACAAACUGUAUUAAAGGAACAUUGUCAAUGUUAUCAAAUUCAGCAGUCAAAUGGCAGGGCUUAAUAUAUUAGCAUGACCUGUGCAGCUGGAUUUGAACUUCUGUGUAUGCACCAUGUUUAAUUACAUGACCACACACAUUCUGUUUGACAGUGCUCAGAACAGGCAAACACGUACUAAGGCAUGACUUCUGCUGUUGUAGGCAAGCUGAUAAUACUGCAUAUUGCAAAAGUUGCUCAGUAUAAACUAUGCCAAAAUGCUGCUUUCAGUUAUGUUCUUCUUUAGAUAAUAACCUUGAACAGAACUCCUGCUUUGUACGUAUACAUCCCUGCACUGUUUUAAGCUGGAGUGGAUCUAGGUCCAGACUGGAGCAAAUCAGGGAAUCUGUGGCAUGUGCUCUUUCUUACGCCCAGGAAACAAGGAAGAGGGGUUGUCCUUCUGGAAUGCAGAGGGAAAUAAAGGCAAACAUAUAUAAAGAAGUGUAUUUAAAUUGAAGGAACAAACUGGGACAAGAGAAGAGAGGAAUGGACAGUAGGGAUAACAGAACUGUGCUUGCAUUUGUGAAGAUGAAAGGAGAAAGAACAUGGGUGCUUUUGAUGAAGUAAAAUCAGUCCCUCAUAUGUUUACAUUUAAUUACAAGAUUACUCUGUUUUUCCACAGAAUUCCUACCUCAUGCAGGAGGCACAUAAUGAGUAGCUAUUAAAUACAUUGCUUUACCCUUAUCAUAUGUGGCCCAAAGCCCUACUUACUGCAGACGUUUUAUAUUCUUGUCCAAAGGCAGAGUUAUUCAUUUCUUCGGAAGUUUUUGUAAUGCCUGUUUCUCUAACUUUUUCAACAAUGCAAAUUCCAGUGUUUCCUAACUUAAAGUGCAGUCUUAAUAUUCUUUUAACGUCAUUGUGUAUAAUUAUAGGUAUGCAUGUGUAUUUAUACGGUGUAAUGUGAACGAACAAAUAGGUGUAUAUAAAGGUUCUUAAAACUUUGUUCUGUAAGCUGUGAGAAACACAAAGUUAUGUGAGGGCACAAAGAGCUCUAAUAGUGACUGGCAAGAAGAGAAAGCAAAGAUAUUCUGUACUAUUUUUAACCAUUGUGUUACAUCAUGCAAUUUUGCAGAGAUUAGUCACCAUAUCAAAACGUUGAUGGAAAUAAUAGUGAAAAGGAGUUGGCGAACUUCAAACGCAUAUGAGGUAACUCUGUAAGAGUUACAAAUGACUUCUGGCAUUUUAAGGUGAAAUGGAAAAACUACAGCCAUAAUACCUCUUUUCUGAUGUUUAUUAUUAUUGUUGUUGUUUUAUUUUAUUUUUAAUACCUCAUUGCAAUAUGAUGAUAUAAGUGGAAAUUUUAUGGGCAUGUACAGGAGUUGGAUAGAGUAGAAUUGCAUCAGUUACUGUCAAGUAGUUUUGUCAUUUUAAGUAUUUUCACUUGUGUGGUCCCAAGCGGCCAGGGCCCCUUGCUUGUGAGUGCCCAAGGGAGGAACAGUCAAGAGUAUGAUGAGCUGAGCUGUUUCCAGUAGUGAGUUCCAGGAACUGCUCUGUGUCAAAUGUCUUUGUCAGUUAAAAUGAAAGGCAAGGGGGAAAAAAAAGAACAGUUUGGACAUAUCUUUUUUUCUUUCGAGAGCAAAAUAGUUUCAACAAAUUUGAAUGGUUCAUUUCUAGAAAAUUACUGCCCUGCAUCUUAAUUAAAUUACUUGAUUUGUCUAUCUUACUUCACAUAUCCAACACUUACAUUUAUUUGCUGUUUUUUUUCAGUGGGGCUAAAAUGAAUGGAAACAAAUAAAGCACAACACAGGAACAGUGAGGAAGUAGAUGAAACCUGGUCAUGAGGAUAUGAAUUAUUAUUGAACUCAGCAAAAGUAUAUGCAAGUACGCAUAUAGUAACAACUAUUUUCAUUAGAAUUGACAUAAGAUGAAGAUAAAAUUUAUUUAACAUGUUCAGUUUGUGAUGAAAGACCAAUCCCAGCAUUUGUUGUUAGAUAAAUAUUAAUAGGAAUGUUGUUUGAAGCAGAAAAAAAAUAGCUGAGGAGCAAAAAUGUAUCUAAUAGGUCCCUUUUUCAGUGAAGAUUAUAAAAUAAAGACGAAUACAGAGUAUAUGCAUGUUUAUAACUUACACAGUGCUUCAUAAAAUCAAAGGUUAAGAACUAGUUUAUACGCAUUUGUCCUCAUGCAUUAACAACUCUUUAACUGACAAAAUAUGAGCAAUAUUCAAGUGCUAUUUUGUUUGGAACAUUAGCUUCCAUUUUAUUUAUUGUCCCCAUCAUUGAAGAAGAUGGUGAUCAGUAUGUUCAGUUAAGUUUUGUGUGAUUUUGAGGUCACAGUUUGACAAUUGGUGUAAACCAGCUGAAGCAUUUUCUGCUACUGUCCCACCACUUUUCUGCUCCAGGCUGUGGGUUAUAAUGCCUUUUUCUGGCACCACCAUUCAUACAGCUGUGUAAUUGGUUGGCUCAGAGAGCUGAUCUGCCUGUAAAGUAAUUAAUUAAUUUUGCUAGUUUUCAACUGAAUAGAAUCAAUCCAUCUGAUUCCAGCAAUCCAGUGCUGGAACAAAGGAGGGGCCAAGGAUUCAAGGAAAUAAGGAGAACUCUUCCUUUCGGUGGCAGCGUAGGAUGUGGACUGUGAAAUAAACUAGUUGUGAAACUGCGCCUGAAUUGUGAUGAACUGCAUGCUCUAGAGAGGAUGGGGAAAUAAAAAAUGAACUAGCAAAUUGUAAAUGAGUACUUCAUAAUCAGUGGAAGUACUUGUAGGAAACAAAACAUUCAGUUCUAUUUGUCAUGGAAUGAAGAGGAAUUAUUUCUUCUCCAUGAGUCUAAUCCACUUCUCUUAAAAAUCUGUAGAAAAACCAUCGUGUUUUCAGUGUAAGGUGGAUCAAUUCCUGUUUGAUGGUAACAUGGUUCAAACUGAAUGGCUAACAGAAAAAUGACAGUGAGAAGUUUGCCAAAGAAAAACUUCAUUACUGAAUAUUCAUUAAUGAGUGUAAUGAUCUUAAAUUAUUUAAAACGGAAACUAUUAACGAAUCAUAUAAUAAGGACAAAGUAUAAUAUGGCUUGCUGCUUGAAAAAUAUGCUUUAAAGGUUGGGUUUGGUUAUUUUUUUUUUUUUUUUCAUUUUACUACUAGAGGUCUGAUAACUUUGUUGUCAGUGUUACUUACGUAUCCUGGUCAAAUACGUGCUGUAACUUGCUUAAAUUCCAAUUUCUGAUAUGAAUACUUUUGGAAGGCACAUUUUAAUUUUGACUUUCACUAAUAACUAAGUUUAAAAUUGAUUCCCUGAUCAUAGUGGCAGUACUUGCUGAGAUGAAUGCAGUAUGGGUACAAUCACAAUUAGUUAAUUUCUACAUUGACUGUAUCCUCAUGCCAGUAGUGAGAUGAUAGCAUUUAUUUAUUCUGGAGAACUACAGCUUGCUGGUAAGCACCAAAUUUCCAGAAAUCUUGGAGAACGCAAUAAAGAGACUAGGCUACAGAAAUUAUUUAGAAGAUAAAAUUAUAUGUUUUCAAUACAACUAGGCAAGUAAUUUGCUUUCUUGGCAAAGAUUCUGUGAGAUAAUAUUAGGAUUUUCUCUCUCAUUUAGCUAGUUAGGUGAUGGUCAGUGGCUAUAUCUUGCUGGCCAUGUCACCUCCUUUCUCCUCUUUUCCUUAUCCCACCUCCCAAGGAUGCACUACUAUCACAAGUGUGUUAGGCAUCCAGAAUUAGAUUUAUAAAAUCCUCUGGUCUUCUGAGUUGCUUUUCUCACAUUCAUAUGAUUCUUCCCUGCCAACUUAGUCUUCUGUCCUCCACCCACCACUGUUUUGAUUCAUUUCCCUCAUGACGCGUGCCUAAAUAUUGCCCAACCCAUGUGGAAAGUCCUUAAUUCUUGUCAAGACAGGGUCAUGACUAGCCCACCCAGGAAGAUCAGAACCAAAGCUCCCAAACUGGGAACAAGGCUUGCCCACUAGUAUAAAAGCCAUUAUUCCCCCAUGGUUAUCCAGCUUUCGUUUAGCAGACAGCUUGAACAGAGGCACAGAAGGUAUGUGUUAGAAGAGAUGGGAUAGAGCAGGAAAUAGCAAUAGAUCUAUCAGGGACAUGAAGGGGAAGAUGGGAACUGCACAAGACACAAAUGGAGUGGGAAGACUGAGUAUAAGAUGGAAUAUAAGAGAAAUUCUGCUGAGGUUAGAGGUAUGGGACAGAAAUGGCCAGUGGGUGAAUGGGGUAGGGAAAACCAGACUUGGUUAGUUAGCCAGUAUGUUUCCCCUUAGUUGUGUCUGGUCAUUUGAAGGAGCUGGAGAAAAGAAACUUGGCAGAGGACCAGCAGGCCACCUACUCCAGCUUUCUUAGUCUCACUGGGGAGGCUUGAAUUGAAAAGAAUUACUGAGUAGACUGAGACAGUACUUAGUUGUGGGACAGGCCCACCCUAAGUUCUGUGAUGCAUUUGGCCACCUCCAUUGAAGUCUGUGAUGAGUACUGCCUUUGGUCCAUUUGCUAAUUUAGCUGUACGUCCAUGUUGUCAGUCCACACUGUCCAAUCCAUAGUCAGUAGGAUACUUAGAAAAUUUAAAAAGCUAGUAAAUAAUGAGAGGAACAAAUCAAGUUUCUCAGAGAUUUGGAACACUGAAAUCUGACCAUCUGAGAAUUUGCAGGAAAUUUUCAUACAUUUUGAGGAUGGUGUGGACAUGGAGCAGGACUUCAACAAACUCUAGAGAGCUCCAUUAACUCCAUCUCUGCCUUUCUCAAAUGGUAGUAGACAUAUGGUAUGAAUAUAAUUACCAUCUCAAAUACUGGCCUCUGUUUUACAUACACCUGUGUCCCUUUUCUAGAAUAAGUGUACAGUCUAUUUCCAGCCCAGUCUUGAGAUACACUUGAGCCAGACAGUUCACCAGUAGCAGACUUCUUUGUUAGUGCUUUCCAUGCAGAGGACAUUUCCAGCUAUUCUGCUACCCUAUAUAUCUGCUCUCAGGUAGAGAAAUGUGAUAUAGAGGUAUUAUUUCCUUGUCACAUUUUAUUAGACAGUAGCUUUCAUUACCUAUCCUUAGAGUUUGAAUGUACCAUCCACCAGAAAUGUUCUUCACAUGCUUUCCUGGAAACGAGUGGUAGGAGGCAGUGGUCACACUGGGAAAGCUGUCGUUGUUAACUUGAAUCUUUUUGCACUACAUAAGAUAGGCCAAACUGUGACUACAUACACCCAUGUUCUUUUGCAGGUGUGGCUCUUGUUACCUGAAAGAGAACACUUAUCAAACAUGGGAAAAACACAGAUCUAUGGUCUUGAUCUUUCUUCUUACACAUUUUUCCACCUUGUGGAAUGAAAAUGCCAUUUUCUGGAAUUCAGUCAUCACAGUGGACAUUACGUAGCACUGCAAUUCCUUGUUCAAAGACAGUUACAUCAUUCCAGUCAGACUAUGGUAUUUACUCUUUUUUGUGUGUGUGUGUACUUUGUCCUAUGGCAUCUUGCAAAGUACCAUAAGUUCCUAGGACAUCUUUCAAAGUCUUUGACUUUUAUGAUGAUUGUCAUGCCAAGUACAAUGAACUGGAGCAGAUGGUCCUAAAUACAUGGCCCUCCUACAUGACUUCUUUUGACUUAGAGCAGUCAGCUAAGUGGUAUGUCUGGCUGCGUAGCGGCUAAUCUCAGUUUCCUGUCUUUGUUACUGGACUUUAGUUUGAGUUUUGGUAGUUGUUAGUGGAGGUUGUUCUUAGGAGUUUGUGUAUACAUAAAUUUCUUUCAAGAAACCUCUUACAUGACUGACUGACUAGACCAGAAAUCUGCUUGUUUCCUCUCAGAGCUUACUGCCUAAUCCUUCAAUCCAUAUGCAGUUGCUUCAGGGAAGGAACGUCAGAAACCAGAGUAAGGCAAGUAUGUGUGUAAGAACUGCGUUUUCUAGAAGUAAAGGCCUAGGGAGAAGAUAGAGUACCCAUGGCUUUGCUCAGGAGGAGUGAAGGGCUAUGUCUCUCUCAAUUGACCAGUGAAACAGCCUGGGAGUCAGUCUCUGGUGAUGAUUCAUAUCUUCAAACUGGAAGACUGAAAUUAAUUGUGGGUAGAGAAAGCGGAGAUUUACUUACCAGUUAAGAAAUGGCCUAGUGGCUUAUCUUAAAAGACUGUCAUAGUAUAUGAAUUUAUAUUCUGUUCAAAUCAUUGAUUCAGAUUAUCUCAACUCCUCAAAUCCUAGCUGUACAGUUAUAAUGCAGCAAGCAUACUUUUUAAUUAUGAUGUUUUAGAGAUUGCAACCUAAGAUGAACAACAGGGUUGUUCAUCCUCAUAUCAUCUCCCACAGAGGUGGCAGAUGUAACCGGUGUGAAGAUGCAGAUUCUUGGUAGAGUUCCUAAUGUCAACAUUUUUGUUCUGGGCUAUACAUGCAAAUUGCGUUUAGAGGUAUGUGGAAAGUUGUUUGCAUAACACCUCUUGGCCACCAAGAGGGACAAUCCCAAUAUGGAUGCAUUCAGUAGAAUUUCCACAACAUGCAAAGUUUUGUGAUACGUGGACAGAUAUUUAGGGAAAAUGUUUUGCAGCACUUUCACAGAGUGAUAAUCUGGCAAAACAGCAAUUAAAUAUAGAAGUUAAUUAUAACAUACUUAGUACUGUAAUGAUGAGUAGUAACUUAAGAAUAAUGAGCAGAAGGUUGAUGUGAUAAUGUUUGAUAGAGCAGAAUGCAUGAAAGAUGAAAAUAUCUGGGAAACAAUAAAAUGCUUCCUAAAAUCCCAUAGGAAUUAGGAGAAAUCCCUUGGCUCUGGUCUAUGCAUGGCAGUGUAAGUGAGCUGAAGAAAACAGUUCUGAAUGGACAAGGGCUGGAUGAGGCAACCUGGAAACUGCCAGCCUUUAGUAUCCUGUAACAAACAUGUAAUGCACCGAUACUAGUAGGAACUGAAAUAAGAAGAAAACAUACUACAGCCAUUAAUAACUGACUCAUCUCAGCUAAAUGUUGAAACAGAAACUUAUGUAGAGUUAAGACUAAUGGGCUUGACCAGUGUUUGUGGCAUGCUCACUGAAAACACCGAAAGAACGUCAUUCUCCUUCGUUGCAGAUAUCAGUGGUGUGAUUGGUUUUUAGGUUUUUUGUUUUUUUUUUUUCCUGUCUCUAAUGUAUUUUAGCCUAGAGCUAAAUUAGCCUAGAGCUACAUAUCCUAGUCAUAGAAUAGAAUAUGUAUAUAAUAUAUAGAAAAUAAUGUGUCAUAGAAUAACACAGCACAUACCAUGUGCUGUAGCUUUACACUCGUUAAUUCUUACUCCAAAGUAAUACCAACUGAACUAUAUGAGGCAUUACUUGCUACAGUUCUAGGAUAUCAGUGUAUUUUCUUGCAAGCACCAAUACUCAGGACUUGGACUGUAUUUGGCCUCUGUAUGGGAACUGUUGAGUCACGGCCUGAACCUCUGAUUGACCACCUGAGGCAAGCACUGAGUCAGCUGCAGGGGCACAGGUGAACGCAAUUUCACCUGAGUGACCGGAAGGGGUGGAGCCAGGCUGCACCCCUCCUAGACCCCAUUUAAGGGCUGACUCCCAAGGAGGAAGGAUCUCUAUCUGGAGAUCACUCCUCUUGGAGCCCUUCUGUGAGUCUAGGACACAGGUAAGAUCUUUAUUUAAUUAUUCCUUUGUAAUGCAAUAAUUUCUCUGGUUCUAUACCUGUUUGCC
RNAcentral lists this long non-coding RNA (32759 nucleotides) under Gallus gallus (chicken). Lineage: Eukaryota; Metazoa; Chordata; Aves; Galliformes; Phasianidae. The record is from RNAcentral.